Molecule: ribosomal RNA, 484 nt
Filed under: uncultured bacterium
Lineage: Bacteria
Description: bacterial SSU rRNA
Rfam family: Bacterial small subunit ribosomal RNA
Source: RNAcentral
GACGAACGCUGGCGGCGUGCCUAACACAUGCAAGCCGAACGAGGUCCAAGGAAGCUUGCUUCCUGAAGACCUAGUGGCGAACGGGUGAGUAACACGUGAGAAACCUGCCUCGGAGUGGGGAAUAACUCGGGGAAACUCGAGCUAAUACCGCAUACCUUCACAUGAUCGCAUGGUCGAGUGAAGAAAGAAUUUCGCUCUGAGAGGGUCUCGCGGCCUAUCAGCUUGUUGGUGGGGUAACGGCCUACCAAGGCAACGACGGGUAGCUGGUUUGAGAGAACGAUCAGCCACACUGGGACUGAGACACGGCCCAGACUCCUACGGGAGGCAGCAGUGGGGAAUCUUGCGCAAUGGGCGAAAGCCUGACGCAGCAACGCCGCGUGCGGGAUGACGGCCUUCGUGGUUGUAAACCGCUUUCAGCAGGGACGAAAAUGACGGUACCUGCAGAAGAAGCCCCGGCUAACUACGUGCCAGCAGCCGCGGUAAU